RNAcentral lists this ribosomal RNA (569 nucleotides) under uncultured archaeon. RNAcentral describes it as "bacterial SSU rRNA". It matches the Rfam family "Archaeal small subunit ribosomal RNA", at positions 325 to 894 of the family's 1478-position model. The record is from RNAcentral.
UCGGGGUGCACCAGGCGCGAAAACUUUACAAUGCUGGCAACAGCGAUAAGGGGACCUCGAGUGCCAGGAUACAAUCUUGGCUGUCGUAAUGCCUAAAAAGCAUUAUAUAGCAAGGGCCGGGCAAGACCGGUGCCAGCCGCCGCGGUAACACCGGCGGCUCGAGUGGUAACCGCUAUUAUUGGGUCUAAAGGGUCUGUAGCCGGCCGGAUAAGUCUUUUGGGAAAUCCAGCUGCUCAACAGUUGGGCUUUCAGAAGAUACUGUUCGGCUCGAGGCCGGGAGAGGUGAGAGGUACUUCAGGGGUAGGGGUGAAAUCUUGUAAUCCUUGAAGGACCACCAGUGGCGAAGGCGUCUCACCAGAACGGACCUGACGGCAAGGGACGAAAGCUAGGGGCACGAACCGGAUUAGAUACCCGGGUAGUCCUAGCCGUAAACGAUACUCGCUAGGUGUCAGCCACGGUGCGACCGUGGUUGGUGCCGUAGGGAAGCCGUGAAGCGAGCCACCUGGGAAGUACGGCCGCAAGGCUGAAACUUAAAGGAAUUGGCGGGGGAGCACAAUCACUAGUGAAUU